CGACGUAGGUAACCUGCCUGGUAGCGGGGGAUAACUAUUGGAAACGAUAGCUAAUACCGCAUAACAUUGACUAUUGCAUGAUAGUCAAUUAAAAGGUGCAAUUGCACCACUACCAGAUGGACCUGCGUUGUAUUAGCUAGUUGGUGGGGUAACGGCUCACCAAGGCGACGAUACAUAGCCGACCUGAGAGGGUGAUCGGCCACACUGGGACUGAGACACGGCCCAG
RNAcentral lists this ribosomal RNA (226 nucleotides) under uncultured bacterium. RNAcentral describes it as "partial 16S ribosomal RNA". It matches the Rfam family "Bacterial small subunit ribosomal RNA", at positions 113 to 334 of the family's 1533-position model. The record is from RNAcentral.